ACUUGAAUUGAAGAGUUUGAUCAUGGCUCAGAUUGAACGCUGGCGGCAGGCUUAACACAUGCAAGUCGAACGGUAGCAGGAGAAAGCUUGCUUUCUUGCUGACGAGUGGCGGACGGGUGAGUAAUGCUUGGGAAUCUGGCUUAUGGAGGGGGAUAACGACGGGAAACUGUCGCUAAUACCGCGUAUUAUCGGAAGAUGAAAGUGCGGGACUGAGAGGCCGCAUGCCAUAGGAUGAGCCCAAGUGGGAUUAGGUAGUUGGUGGGGUAAAUGCCUACCAAGCCUGCGAUCUCUAGCUGGUCUGAGAGGAUGACCAGCCACACUGGAACUGAGACACGGUCCAGACUCCUACGGGAGGCAGCCAGUGGGGAAUAUUGCGCAAUGGGGGGAACCCUGACGCAGCCAUGCCGCGUGAAUGAAGAAGGCCUUCCGGGUGUAAAGUUCUUUCGGUAUUGAGGAAGGGUGAUGUGUAAAUAGAACCUCAAAUUGACGUUAAAUACAAAAAAACACCGGCUAACCUCCCUGCCGCAGCCCCCGGUAAUCACGAAGGGUGCAAGCGGUAAUCGGAAUUACUGGGCGUAAAAGGCACCCAGGGGGUUAUUUAAGUAAGGGGGAAAAACCCUGGGCUUAACCCAGGAAUUGAUUUUCAACAUGGGGAAAUAGAAACCUUUAGGGAGGGGGAAAAAAUCCCACCGUUCC
RNAcentral lists this ribosomal RNA (696 nucleotides) under Haemophilus influenzae PittII. RNAcentral's name for it is "bacterial SSU rRNA". It matches the Rfam family "Bacterial small subunit ribosomal RNA", at positions 1 to 679 of the family's 1533-position model. Lineage: Bacteria; Pseudomonadati; Pseudomonadota; Gammaproteobacteria; Pasteurellales; Pasteurellaceae. The record is from RNAcentral.